AGCAGCCGCGGUAAUUCCAGCUCCAAUAGCGUAUAUUAAAGUUGUUGCAGUUAAAAAGCUCGUAGUUGAAUUUCGGGGUUUAUCCGUUGGUCGGGCUUUUUGGUCUGUACUGGCGUGAUGGAUUCCUACCUUCUGAAUAACCGGCAUGCCAUUAAUUUGGUGCGCCGGGGAAGCAGGACUGUUACCUUGAAAAAAUUAGAGUGCUUAAAGCAGGCUUAUGCCUGAAUACAUUAGCAUGGAAUAAUGAAAUAGGACGGCAUGGUUCUAUUUUGUUGGUUUCUAGGAUCACCGUAAUGAUUAAUAGGGAUAGUUGGGGGCAUUAGUAUUCAAUUGUCAGAGGUGAAAUUCUUGGAUUUAUUGAAGACUAACUUCUGCGAAAGCAUUUGCCAAGGAUGUUUUCAUUAAUCAAGAACAAAAGUUAGGGGAUCGAAGACGAAUCAGAUACCGUCGUAGUCUUAACCAUAAACUAUGCCGACUAGGGAUCGGACGGAUGUUAAUUUUUUAAUGACUCGUUCUUAGG
RNAcentral lists this ribosomal RNA (520 nucleotides) under uncultured Acaulospora. RNAcentral's name for it is "SSU rRNA". It matches the Rfam family "Eukaryotic small subunit ribosomal RNA", at positions 569 to 1086 of the family's 1831-position model. The record is from RNAcentral. Lineage: Eukaryota; Fungi; Glomeromycota; Glomeromycetes; Diversisporales; Acaulosporaceae.